GACGAACGCUGGCGGCGUGCUUAACACAUGCAAGUCGAACGGAAAGGCCCUGCUUUUGUGGGGUGCUCGAGUGGCGAACGGGUGAGUAACACGUGAGUAACCUGCCCUUGACUUUGGGAUAACUUCAGGAAACUGGGGCUAAUACCGGAUAGGAGCUCCUGCUGCAUGGUGGGGGUUGGAAAGUUUCGGCGGUUGUGGAUGGACUGGCGGCUUAUCAGCUUGUUGGUGGGGUAGUGGCUUACCAAGGCUUUGACGGGUAGCCGGCCUGAGAGGGUGACCGGCCACAUUGGGACUGAGAUACGGACCAGACGCCUACGGGAGGCAGCAGUGGGGAAUAUUGCACAAUGGGCGGAAGCCUGAUGCAGCAACGCCGCGUGCGGGAUGACGGCUUUCGGGUUGUAAACCGCUUUCGCCUGUGACGAAGCGUGAGUGACGGUAAUGGGUAAAGAAGCACCGGCUAACUACGUG
This 468-nucleotide ribosomal RNA is filed under the name uncultured bacterium. RNAcentral's name for it is "partial 16S ribosomal RNA". It matches the Rfam family "Bacterial small subunit ribosomal RNA", at positions 28 to 507 of the family's 1533-position model. The record is from RNAcentral.